UACGUAGGGUGCGAGCGUUUAAUCGGAAUUACUGGGCGUAAAGCGUGCGCAGGCGGUCUGUUAAGACCGAUGUGAAAUCCCCGGGCUUAACCUGGGAACUGCAUUGGUGACUGGCAGGCUUUGAGUGUGGCAGAGGGAGGUAGAAUUCCACGUGUAGCAGUGAAAUGCGUAGAGAUGUGGAGGAAUACCGAUGGCGAAGGCAGGUCUCUGGGCUGAUACUGACGCUCAUGCACGAAAGCGUGGGGAGCAAACAGG
RNAcentral lists this ribosomal RNA (255 nucleotides) under uncultured bacterium. RNAcentral's name for it is "partial 16S ribosomal RNA". It matches the Rfam family "Bacterial small subunit ribosomal RNA", at positions 524 to 776 of the family's 1533-position model. The record is from RNAcentral.